GCCAGGCAUGGUGGCUCACGCCUGUAAUCCAAGCAUUUUGGGAGGCUGAGGCAGGAGGAUCACUUGAGCCCAGGAGUUCAAAAUAAGCCUGGGCAAUACAGUGAGAUCCUGACUCUG
Non-coding RNA from Homo sapiens (human), 117 nucleotides. It matches the Rfam family "Metazoan signal recognition particle RNA". Rfam says of the family: The signal recognition particle (SRP) is a universally conserved ribonucleoprotein. It is involved in the co-translational targeting of proteins to membranes. The record is from Rfam. NCBI's taxonomy places the organism in Eukaryota, Metazoa, Chordata, Mammalia, Primates, Hominidae.